GUGAUGGUGGUGAUGGGGUGAGGGGUGAUGAUGGGGUGAUGGUGGUGUUAAGGUGAUGGUGGUGAUAGGGUGAUGGUGGUGAUGGGGUGAUGGUGGUGAUGGUGGUGAUGGUGGUGAUAAGGUGAUGGUGGUGAUAAGGUGAUGGUGGUGGUAAGGUGAUGGUGGUGAUGGGGUGAUGGUGGUGAUGGUGGUGAUGGUGGUGAUAAGGUGAUGGUGGUGAUAAGGUGAUGGUGGUGAUGGUGGUGUGAUGGUGGUGUUAAGGUGAUGGUGGUGAUAAGGUGAUGGUGGUGAUAAGGUGAUGGUGGUGAUGGGGUGAUGGUGGUGAUAAGGUGAUGGUGGUGAUAAGGUGAUGGUGGUGAUAAGGUGAUGGUGGUGAUAAGGUGAUGGUGGUGAUGGGGUGAUGGUGGUGAUGGUGGUGAUAAUGUGAUGGUGGUGAUGGGGUGAUGGUGGUGAUGGUGGUGAUGGGGUGAGGGAGGUGAUGGUGAUGAUAAGGUGAUGGUGGUGAUGGUGGUAUUAAGGUGACGGUGGUGAUGGGGUGAUGGUGGUGAUGGGGUGAGGGUGGUGAUGGUGGUGAUGGGGUGAGGGUGGUGAUGGUGGUGAUGGGGUGAUGGUGGUGAUGGGGUGAGGGUGGUGAUAAGGUGAUGGUGGUGAUGGUGGUGAUAAGGUGAUGGUGGUGAUGGGGUGAGGGUGGUGAUGGUGGUGAUGGGGUGAGGUUGGUGAUGGUGGUGAUGGGGUGAGGGUGGUGAUGGUGGUGAUAAGGUGAUGGUGGUGAUAAG
This is a long non-coding RNA of Oncorhynchus tshawytscha (Chinook salmon), 776 nucleotides long. The record is from Ensembl. NCBI's taxonomy places the organism in Eukaryota, Metazoa, Chordata, Actinopteri, Salmoniformes, Salmonidae.